AUGGAUUCUUGGCUUUUUAGCUAACAUCAUGUGUAGUAUCUGUUCUUAUCAGUUUAAUAUUUCCUGGCAGGUAGAGCUAUUUGUACUCCUCAAACCCAGCAGGCUUCCUCACACCUCUGGGUUUCUGAAACUGCUUUUCCUUCACUAGGUCUGCCCUCCCCAGUUCUGGGGCUUGGAAAACGGAU
Pteronotus mesoamericanus is the source of this 185-nucleotide small nuclear RNA. RefSeq annotates it as U2 spliceosomal RNA. The transcript has a single exon. The record is from RefSeq and is a predicted model, not a curated record. NCBI's taxonomy places the organism in Eukaryota, Metazoa, Chordata, Mammalia, Chiroptera, Mormoopidae.